Molecule: non-coding RNA, 93 nt
Organism: Mycena latifolia
Lineage: Eukaryota; Fungi; Basidiomycota; Agaricomycetes; Agaricales; Mycenaceae
Source: the annotation of a GenBank genome assembly
GACCUGGUGGUGAAAUGAAUCACACUUGCAUUUGAUAUUCGAUAGCCAUCCACGGUAGAGCAGGAGGUCCCGGUUCGAAUCCGGGUUAGGUCA